This 253-nucleotide ribosomal RNA is filed under the name uncultured bacterium. Its description in RNAcentral is "partial 16S ribosomal RNA". It matches the Rfam family "Bacterial small subunit ribosomal RNA", at positions 524 to 776 of the family's 1533-position model. The record is from RNAcentral.
UACGUAGGGAGCAAGCGUUGUCCGGAAUCAUUGGGCGUAAAGCGCGCGUAGGCGGCCCCGUAAGUCCGCUGUGAAAGUCAAAGGCUCAACCUUUGAAAGCCGGUGGAUACUGUGGGGCUAGAGUACGGAAGAGGCGAGUGGAAUUCCUGGUGUAGCGGUGGAAUGCGCAGAUAUCAGGAGGAACACCGAUGGCGAAGGCAGGUCUCUGGGCCAUUACUGACACUGAGAAGCGAAAGCAUGGGGAGCGAACAGG